Molecule: long non-coding RNA, 492 nt
Filed under: Pan troglodytes (chimpanzee)
Lineage: Eukaryota; Metazoa; Chordata; Mammalia; Primates; Hominidae
Description: long non-coding RNA NONPTRT001195
Source: RNAcentral
UUGGGCGGCGGAUCUGCAGAGUUUCGAGGUUCUGUCAAGUUCGUUGCCCGCCGCCCAACUUGAAGCCUCAUUUACCUUUCGGCUACCUGAUUUGGAUAAAUGGAGAAAAACCGGGGCCUCUAACUCAUAAUGCCCUCCCGCGUUCAAGAUGCCAGUUUUGGGGCGGAGAUUUCUAAAUCAAAGCCUACAUCCCGCGCGGGAAUAUCUGCUGGUAAUUUCUCGCCUGCCAGAAAACCCCUUUGAUCUCUGGCUGUGGAGACUCGGGACCCCUACCCAAGUAUGGGACACUGCCUCCGUUGGGGUUAUCUCAGGGUUAUCAUCUGAAAAGGGGAGCUGUGCUUUAGGCUCUUUUGACAUCACUACUCCCAGCACAAAGAGCUGCCACUUUGGGAAUGUUGAGUAGGAGCAGUGAAAACAAAAUGUCCCGUCUGGAAGGAAACUGGGAGGCCAGCUCAUCCAGCCUCCACUGCUCCCAAAGCCAGAAGUUGCUUC